GGAAAUUAUCACAACUCUAUUUUAUAUAGAUUCAGAGUCUGAAUUUAUUUUUUAAAAAGAAUCAGUGAGAGAAGUAAGAAUAAAGGCAAAUGAAAGAGGAGGAGGAGGAGCUGUUCCACAUGAAGAGAGGAUGUGUUAUGAAAACCUUCAGAGUCAGGCAGAAGUGAAGGGGAAGGAACGAGAGCUUUUGGAGAGACAUGAAAGACAGAAACAGAUCUAGAGAAAGUUUCCAUGCAGGAAGGAAGGAAGGAAGACGUGCUGGUGAGCAGUUUCCUGUUCAACUUCCAUUCUAUUUUUAGAGAAGCCCUUAAUGCUGACCAUCUCAAAGGAAACAACUGAAAAGAUAGGAAAACCAACAACAUGGCAAUAAGAAGUGGCCAAGGGCUUGGAGUCUGGAGCUGUCUGGGCGUGUCUGGGUUGCUGCUCUAUACCGUGCCUGUCACUGGUGGGGCUUUGGUGGGGAGAAAAGGCAAACUCAUUCUGGUUUGCCUUGGUGGUCACAUGGAGCUGGGCUGGGAUGGUGACCACCUUUUUGUGUGUAAAUCACCCUCUCUUUUGUAUCCUUUUGUCACUAAUACUGUUUCUGUUGCUGCUUGUUUCUUCUCUCAUUGCUGUUAUCAAGGAAAUUUUUCUUUACCAGAAACUCUGCUUUUUUCUUGCUCUCGCCAGAGGAGGAAGGAGGAGGGAAGUGGCUGAGUUAAUUCCAGUUAAUUCAAUUUAAUUUCCAGCUGAGUUUAAACUACAAC
RNAcentral lists this long non-coding RNA (746 nucleotides) under Zonotrichia albicollis (white-throated sparrow). RNAcentral's name for it is "lncRNA (ENSZALG00000006979.1)". Lineage: Eukaryota; Metazoa; Chordata; Aves; Passeriformes; Passerellidae. The record is from RNAcentral.